This 427-nucleotide ribosomal RNA is filed under the name uncultured bacterium. Its description in RNAcentral is "partial 16S ribosomal RNA". It matches the Rfam family "Bacterial small subunit ribosomal RNA", at positions 355 to 774 of the family's 1533-position model. The record is from RNAcentral.
UGGGGAAUAUUGCACAAUGGGCGCAAGCCUGAUGCAGCCAUGCCGCGUGUAUGAAGAAGGCCUUCGGGUUGUAAAGUACUUUCAGCGGGGAGGAAGGCGAUAAGGUUAAUAACCUUGUCGAUUGACGUUACCCGCAGAAGAAGCACCGGCUAACUCCGUGCCAGCAGCCGCGGUAAUACGGAGGGUGCAAGCGUUAAUCGGAAUUACUGGGCGUAAAGCGCACGCAGGCGGUCUGUCAAGUCGGAUGUGAAAUCCCCGGGCUCAACCUGGGAACUGCAUUCGAAACUGGCAGGCUAGAGUCUUGUAGAGGGGGGUAGAAUUCCAGGUGUAGCGGUGAAAUGCGUAGAGAUCUGGAGGAAUACCGGUGGCGAAGGCGGCCCCCUGGACAAAGACUGACGCUCAGGUGCGAAAGCGUGUGGAGCAAACA